RNAcentral lists this ribosomal RNA (253 nucleotides) under uncultured bacterium. RNAcentral's name for it is "partial 16S ribosomal RNA". It matches the Rfam family "Bacterial small subunit ribosomal RNA", at positions 524 to 776 of the family's 1533-position model. The record is from RNAcentral.
UACAGAGGGUGCAAGCGUUAAUCGGAAUUACUGGGCGUAAAGCGCGCGUAGGCGGCCAACUAAGUCAGACGUGAAAUCCCUCGGCUUAACCGGGGAACUGCAUCUGAUACUGGAUGGCUUGAGUUCGGGAGAGGGAUGCGGAAUUCCAGGUGUAGCGGUGAAAUGCGUAGAUAUCGAGAGGAACACCUGCGGCGAAGGCGGGUUGCUGGGCCGACACUGACGCUGAUGCGCGAAAGCCAGGGGAGCGAACGGG